GGUUAAAAAGCUCGUAGUUGGAUCUCAACAGCCUUGAAGCGGUUAACUUUGUAGUUUUACUGCUUUAUAGGCUGUGCUUUUGCUGGAGGUUUAGGGGUGCUCUUGAUCGAGUGUCUCUGGAUGCCAGCAGGUUUACUUUGAAAAAAUUAGAGUGCUCAAAGCAGGCUAAAAUGCCUGAAUAUUCGUGCAUGGAAUAAUAGAAUAGGAUGUCGAUCCUAUUUUGUUGGUUUUCGGGACUCGACAUAAUGAUAAAUAGGGACAGUCGGGGGCAUUUGUAUUCAAACGACAGAGGUGAAAUUCUUGGACCGUUUGAAGACAAACUACUGCGAAAGCAUUUGCCAAGAAUGUUCUCAUUAAUCAAGAACGAAAGUUAGAGGUUCGAAGGCGAUUAGAUACCGCCCUAGUUCUAACCAUAAGCGAUGCCAGCUAGCGAUCUGCCUGCGUUUUUACUGUAGACUGGGCAGGAAGCUUCCGGGAAACCAAAGCAUUUGGGUUCCAGGGGAAGUAUGGUUGCAAAGCUGAAACUUAAAGGAAUUGACGGAAGGGCACCACCAGGAGUGGAGCCUGUGGCUUAAUUUGACUCAACACGGGAAAUCUCACCAGGCCCGGACACUGGAAGGAUUGACAGAUUGAUAGCUCUUUCUUGAUUCGGUGGGUGGUGGUGCAU
RNAcentral lists this ribosomal RNA (667 nucleotides) under uncultured marine eukaryote. RNAcentral's name for it is "SSU rRNA". It matches the Rfam family "Eukaryotic small subunit ribosomal RNA", at positions 617 to 1285 of the family's 1831-position model. The record is from RNAcentral.